AGCGAACGCUGGGGCAGGCCUAAUACAUGCAAGUCGAACGGUCUCUUCGAGGCAGUGGCGGACGGGUGAGUAACGCGUGGGAAUAUGGCCCUUUGGUACGGAACGAACUGAGGGAAACUUCAGCUAAUACCGUAUGUGCCCUUCGGGGGAAAGAUUUAUCGCCAUUGGAGUAGCCCGCGUUGGAUUAGGUAGUUGGUGGGGUAAAGGCCUACCAAGCCUACGAUCCAUAGCUGGUCUGAGAGGAUGAUCAGCCACACUGGGACUGAGACACGGCCCAGACUCCUACGGGAGGCAGCAGUAGGGAAUCUUGCGCAAUGGGCGAAAGCCUGACGCAGCCAUGCCGCGUGAAUGAUGAAGGUCUUAGGAUUGUAAAAUUCUUUCACCGGGGAAGAUAAUGACGGUACCCGGAGAAGAAGCCCCGGCUAACUUCGUG
Molecule: ribosomal RNA, 433 nt
Filed under: uncultured bacterium
Lineage: Bacteria
Description: bacterial SSU rRNA
Rfam family: Bacterial small subunit ribosomal RNA
Source: RNAcentral